This 612-nucleotide ribosomal RNA is filed under the name Popillia japonica (Japanese beetle). RNAcentral describes it as "partial 16S large subunit ribosomal RNA". It matches the Rfam family "Bacterial large subunit ribosomal RNA", at positions 1844 to 2766 of the family's 2925-position model. Lineage: Eukaryota; Metazoa; Arthropoda; Insecta; Coleoptera; Scarabaeidae. The record is from RNAcentral.
UUUAAAGUCUGACCUGCCCAAUGAGGAUUUGAAUGGCCGCGGUAAUUUGACCGUGCAAAGGUAGCAUAAUCAUUAGUUUUUUAAUUGAAAGCUGGAAUGAACGGUUGGACGAGAAAGUAACUGUCUCAAUUUAAUUGAAUAUAGAAUUUUAUUUAUAAGUAAAAAAGCUUAUAUAAUUUUAAAAGACGAGAAGACCCUAUAGAGUUUUAUAGUUUAAAUUAUUAUUUAAUUUUAGUAUAUUUAUAUAUUUAAUAAUUUAAACUAUUUUGCUGGGGCAGCAGAAAAAUUGAUUAAACUUUUUUUAUUUAAAAACAUUAAUUUAUGAUUGAAUGAUCCAUUUUUAAUGAUUACAAGAUUAAAUUACCUUAGGGAUAACAGCGUAAUUUUUUUUUAGAGUUCUUAUCGAAAAAAAAGUUUGCGACCUCGAUGUUGGAUUAAAAUUAACUUUUGGUGUAGGGGCUAAAAGGUUAGGUCUGUUCGACCUUUAAAAUUUUACAUGAUCUGAGUUUAAACCGGCGUGAGCCAGGUUGGUUUCUAUCUUUAAAAAACAUAGGUAUUUUAGUACGAAAGGAUCAGAUACCUUUAAAAUUUAAUAUAAUUUGAAUAUGAAUA